Molecule: ribosomal RNA, 496 nt
Filed under: uncultured bacterium
Lineage: Bacteria
Description: partial 16S ribosomal RNA
Rfam family: Bacterial small subunit ribosomal RNA
Source: RNAcentral
AUGCACGCUGGCGGCGUGCCUAAUACCUGCAAGUCGAGCGAACGGACGAGAAGCUUGCUUUUCUGAUGUUAGCGGCGGACGGGUGAGUAACACGUGGAUAACCUACCUAUAAGCCUGGGAUAACUUCGGGAAACCGGAGCUAAUACCGGAUAAUAUUUUGAACCGCAUGGUUCAAAAGUGAAAGACGGUCUUGCUGUCACUUAUAGAUGGAUCCGCGCUGCAUUAGCUAGUUGGUAAGGUAACGGCUUACCAAGGCAACGAUGCAUAGCCGACCUGAGAGGGUGAUCGGCCACACUGGAACUGAGACACGGUCCAGACUCCUACGGGAGGCAGCAGUAGGGAAUCUUCCGCAAUGGGCGAAAGCCUGACGGAGCAACGCCGCGUGAGUGAUGAAGGUCUUCGGAUCGUAAAACUCUGUUAUUAGGGAAGAACAUAUGUGUAAGUAACUGUGCACAUCUUGACGGUACCUAAUCAGAAAGCCACGGCUAACUACGUG